This 368-nucleotide ribosomal RNA is filed under the name uncultured bacterium. RNAcentral's name for it is "bacterial SSU rRNA". It matches the Rfam family "Bacterial small subunit ribosomal RNA", at positions 29 to 424 of the family's 1533-position model. The record is from RNAcentral.
AGCGAACGCUGGCGGCAGGCUUAACACAUGCAAGUCGAACGGGCAUAGCAAUAUGUCAGUGGCAGACGGGUGAGUAACGCGUGGGAACGUACCUUUUGGUUCGGAACAACACAGGGAAACUUGUGCUAAUACCGGAUAAGCCCUUACGGGGAAAGAUUUAUCGCCGAAAGAUCGGCCCGCGUCUGAUUAGCUAGUUGGUAGGGUAAUGGCCUACCAAGGCGACGAUCAGUAGCUGGCUGAGAGGAUGAUCAGCCACAUUGGGACUGAGACACGGCCCAAACUCCUACGGGAGGCAGCAGUGGGGAAUAUUGGACAAUGGGCAAAGCCUGAUCCAGCCAUGCCGCGUGAGUGAUGAAGGCCCUAGGGUU